This 468-nucleotide ribosomal RNA is filed under the name uncultured bacterium. Its description in RNAcentral is "partial 16S ribosomal RNA". It matches the Rfam family "Bacterial small subunit ribosomal RNA", at positions 28 to 507 of the family's 1533-position model. The record is from RNAcentral.
GACGAACGCUGGCGGCGUGCUUAACACAUGCAAGUCGAACGGAAAAGCCCUGCUUUUGUGGUGUGCUCCGGUGGCGAAAGGGUGACUAAGACGUCCGUCACCUGCCCUUGACUUUAGGAUAACUUCAGGAAACUAGUGCUAAUACCUGAUAGCAUCUCGUGCUGCAUGGGGGGGGUUGGAAAGUUUGGGCGGUUGGGGAUGGACUCGCGGCUUAUCAGCUUGUUGGUGGGGUAGUGGCUUACCAAGGCUUUGACGGGUAGCCGGCCUGAGAGGGUGACCGGCCACACUGGGACUGAGAUACGGCCCAGACUCCUACGGGAGGCAGCAGUGGGGAAUAUUGCACAAUGGGCGGAAGCCUGAUGCAGCAACGCCGCGUGCGGGAUGACGGCCUUCGGGUUGUAAACCGCUUUCGCCAGUGACGAAGCGUGAGUGACGGUAAUGGGUAAAGAAGCACCGGCUAACUACGUG